UCCCCAUCUUCGCAAGAUUCAGAAUGGUUGAGAUUUCUCUUGGCACAGCUACCAGAAGACUUACAACUUUCAAACAGGUUGCUCCCGUCACAUCUGCGUCGUCAAGCUCAGUUGGAGGCUGCGCGGUAACGCUAAGCUAUCACCGUAAAAGUGCCUCUAAUAGACUUCACUGGUCUACAUACAGAGCAACGGGGUCUGUUGGUCCAUUAUAUACUGUAUAG
Etheostoma cragini (Arkansas darter) is the source of this 221-nucleotide long non-coding RNA. RefSeq lists it as uncharacterized. The transcript has 3 exons. The record is from RefSeq and is a predicted model, not a curated record. Lineage: Eukaryota; Metazoa; Chordata; Actinopteri; Perciformes; Percidae.